RNAcentral lists this ribosomal RNA (466 nucleotides) under uncultured bacterium. RNAcentral's name for it is "partial 16S ribosomal RNA". It matches the Rfam family "Bacterial small subunit ribosomal RNA", at positions 28 to 507 of the family's 1533-position model. The record is from RNAcentral.
GAUGAACGCUGGCGGCGUGCUUAACACAUGCAAGUCGAACGAUGAAGCCCAGCUUGCUGGGUGGAUUAGUGGCGAACGGGUGAGUAACACGUGAGUAACCUGCCCUUAACUCUGGGAUAAGCCUGGGAAACUGGGUCUAAUACCGGAUAGGAGCGUCCACCGCAUGGUGGGUGUUGGAAAGAUUUAUCGGUUUUGGAUGGACUCGCGGCCUAUCAGCUUGUUGGUGAGGUAAUGGCUCACCAAGGCGACGACGGGUAGCCGGCCUGAGAGGGUGACCGGCAACACUGGGACUGAGACACGGCCCAGACUCCUACGGGAGGCAGCAGUGGGGAAUAUUGCACAAUGGGCGCAAGCCUGAUGCAGCGACGCCGCGUGAGGGAUGACGGCCUUCGGGUUGUAAACCUCUUUCAGUAGGGAAGAAGCGAAAGUGACGGUACCUGCAGAAGAAGCACCGGCUAACUACGUG